GGUUGACCUCGGAUCAGGUAGGAAUACCCGCUGAACUUAAGCAUAUCAAUAAGCGGAGGAAAAGAAACCAACAGGGAUUGCCUCAGUAACGGCGAGUGAAGCGGCAACAGCUCAAAUUUGAAAUCUGGCUC
RNAcentral lists this ribosomal RNA (131 nucleotides) under Gibellulopsis nigrescens. RNAcentral describes it as "partial 28S ribosomal RNA". It matches the Rfam family "Eukaryotic large subunit ribosomal RNA", at positions 1 to 128 of the family's 3401-position model. Lineage: Eukaryota; Fungi; Ascomycota; Sordariomycetes; Glomerellales; Plectosphaerellaceae. The record is from RNAcentral.